AUUGAACGCUGGCGGCAGGCCUAACACAUGCCAGUCGAGCGGAUGAAGGGAGCUUGCUCCUGGAUUCAGCGGCGGACGGGUGAGUAAUGCCUAGGAAUCUGCCUGGUAGUGGGGGAUAACGUCCGGAAACGGGCGCUAAUACCGCAUACGUCCUGAGGGAGAAAGUGGGGGAUCUUCGGACCUCACGCUAUCAGAUGAGCCUAGGUCGGAUUAGCUAGUUGGUGGGGUAAAGGCCUACCAAGGCGACGAUCCGUAACUGGUCUGAGAGGAUGAUCAGUCACACUGGAACUGAGACACGGUCCAGACUCCUACGGGAAGCAGCAGUGGGGAAUAUUGGACAAUGGGCGAAAGCCUGAUCCAGCCAUGCCGCGUGUGUGAAGAAGGUCUUCGGAUUGUAAAGCACUUUAAGUUGGGAGGAAGGGCAGUAAGUUAAUACCUUGCUGUUUUGACGUUACCAACAGAAUAAGCACCGGCUAACUUCGUG
RNAcentral lists this ribosomal RNA (484 nucleotides) under uncultured bacterium. RNAcentral describes it as "partial 16S ribosomal RNA". It matches the Rfam family "Bacterial small subunit ribosomal RNA", at positions 30 to 507 of the family's 1533-position model. The record is from RNAcentral.